Molecule: ribosomal RNA, 389 nt
Filed under: uncultured bacterium
Lineage: Bacteria
Description: bacterial SSU rRNA
Rfam family: Bacterial small subunit ribosomal RNA
Source: RNAcentral
GACGAACGCUGGCGGCGUGCUUAACACAUGCAAGUCGAGCGGUAAGGCCCUUUCGGGGGUACGACGAGCGGCGAACGGGUGAGUAACACGUGGGUGACCUGCCCUCAGCUCUGGGAUAAGCCUGGGAAACCGGGUACUAAUACCGGAUAUGACUCCAUGACGCAUGUUGUGGGGUGGAAAGCCUUGUGCGGCUGAGGAUGGGCCCGCGGCCUAUCAGCUUGUUGGUGGGGUGAUGGCCUACCAAGGCGACGACGGGUAGCCGGCCUGAGAGGGCGACCGGCCACACUGGGACUGAGACACGGCCCAGACUCCUACGGGAGGCAGCAGUGGGGAAUCUUGCGCAAUGGGCGAAAGCCUGACGCAGCGACGCCGCGUGAGGGAUGACGGCC